This 178-nucleotide long non-coding RNA is filed under the name Numida meleagris (helmeted guineafowl). Its description in RNAcentral is "lncRNA (ENSNMEG00000015035.1)". Lineage: Eukaryota; Metazoa; Chordata; Aves; Galliformes; Numididae. The record is from RNAcentral.
UGCAUGAAUAAAUCUCAUGGAUUUAAUUACACGUGUUUAUCACCAUGUAUUGGAAACACAGAGGGAACUCUAAGAAAAGUAUGCAAGAAGAACUGUUAGGAAAUAAUUAUUGCACUGGGAUAAGAUUCUUCUAACUCAUUGUAUUGCCUCUAACAAUGGACAGUAAGUGACGUGUAUA